Long non-coding RNA from Cotesia glomerata, 823 nucleotides. RefSeq lists it as uncharacterized. The transcript has 2 exons. NCBI's taxonomy places the organism in Eukaryota, Metazoa, Arthropoda, Insecta, Hymenoptera, Braconidae. The record is from RefSeq and is a predicted model, not a curated record.
ACUUUGACGUUUCAGUCAAUCGCGAGUUGACGUUUAAAAAAAAAAAAAAAUUAUAUAUGUGUACACACACAUAUGAAAGGCGUGAGAGAGGUCAAUUUUUUGUUGUGAGUUGUAAGGACUUAUUUUUUUUUUUGUUUUUAUUGAAGUGACUGAGUGUGAGAAAAAGUUUAAAAUUUUUUUGUUUAACAGUUUUUCAAAAUUUCGUUGUUCGGAAAAUUAUGGAGAUUAAAGAAUGAAAUUUUUAUCGGGUUAUAGAGGAAGGUUCAUAGAAACUUUUGUAUAAAAUUAGAAGUCGAUAGGGUAAUUAGGGCCAGAGUUAUGGUGACAAAGUUCAAUUCAAAGUAUAAUUCUACAAAUUUUUUUAUAACAAUUUUUAUCUUAAUUUUACUUCCGUAUUAAGUCGUCCUUGAUUUCACAUACAUAUUGUAUAUAUAAGUACAUAUUUAUAUAAAAAUAAAAUAAACACAUAAAAAAAAUUAAACAAUUUCCUGAGACGAGAAAACGCGGCAGGACGUCAACAUAUGUCGGAUUUAUCGUCUGUGAAAUCGAUAAUUCACUUAUAUUUAUAUUUUUAUAUAUUAUUAUUAUUAUCACUCGAUUUAUAAGAUUAAAAACAAAAGCAGGUGUUUCCAGGGAAACAGCCAACCAAAUUAAGGGUUUAAAAGGGUCAUUCGAAAGGAAAUUUAACUGGCUACAAUUUUUACCGGAUAUAAAAAUUUUGCGGGAGUGAUAGUUUCAGAGAUAAUAGCGACAAAAGGUCAAAAAGUUUUUAUCUUACAAUUAAUUCAAUUAUUUUUAUUCUUAAUAAUUUUUUUUUGAGCCA